CCCUCUUCUUCUACUCCAUCAUCACAAGUGCCGUGUGGUCCACUGGUUUGGACAGCUUACGUCACCCUCUUCCCCUACCACUCUCUCAGCUCCCUCCACCUACAAUAGAUAAGGGAGAGACCUCUUGAUUUAGAAGGUAUCAAACUCUUCAUUGUAGAAAUCUAUCCACGUGAUCGUGAUCACUUCAGGGAAUUGGAUCCUUAAAAGUACAAGGUUUCCAUUGUGUUUAUACCCGAAAGAUCCAACACCAGCUCACCCCACCAAGAAAAUGAGAUGCUCUGAAAAUCAUGCCAAUCCAACCAUCAACUGCGCCAACAUGCAAAUUUGGAGGCUUAUGUUGUGGCCCACUUAAUGAUUAGAUUAGCCUGAUCUCUAAGCUGUCCAAUUUUUUUAUGGUGGACCAUCCUUGUGGAUGGUUUAGAUUACAUGCACCGUGAUGGUCUGACUCUUAUCUAGCAUCCUUGUACCUGAUGGCUACAUAUUUCUCUAAUCCCUCCUUAUUGAGCGCCACAGAUAGAAAAAUGAUUGUGAUAAUUCAUUUUAAUUGAUAUCACUCUUUGUUCAAUUGAUAUGAAUUAUAUGGGAAAAUGAUUGUGAUCAUUCAUUUA
Long non-coding RNA from Magnolia sinica, 608 nucleotides. RefSeq lists it as uncharacterized. The record is from RefSeq and is a predicted model, not a curated record. The transcript is spliced from 2 exons. NCBI's taxonomy places the organism in Eukaryota, Viridiplantae, Streptophyta, Magnoliopsida, Magnoliales, Magnoliaceae.